Molecule: ribosomal RNA, 250 nt
Filed under: uncultured bacterium
Lineage: Bacteria
Description: partial 16S ribosomal RNA
Rfam family: Bacterial small subunit ribosomal RNA
Source: RNAcentral
AGCGAACGCUGGCGGCGUGCCUAACACAUGCAAGUCGAACGUGAAAGGGAGCAAUCCUGAGUAAAGUGGCGUACGGGUGAGUAACGCGUAGGUAAUCUACCCUAGAGUCCGGAAUAACCUGCCGAAAGGCGGGCUAAUACUGGAUAGAGCGAUGAGGUCCGUAAUAGGAUCUUUCGGGAAAGGGAGGAAGCAAUUCCCUUUGCUCUAGGAUGAGCCUGCGUCUCAUUAGCUAGUUGGUGGGGUAAUGGCC